CGGACCCUUAUCUGAUGGCGGUUUGCAACUGGACCCUAAUCUGAGUGGCAUUUAGCAACCAGCACCUUAUCUGAGUGGCCGUUUGCUACCGGGCCCUUAUCUAAGUGGCAGUUUGCAACCAGACCCUUUUCUGAAUGGCAGUUUGCAACCGGACCCUUAUCUGAACGGCAGUUUACAACCAGCACCUUAUCUCAGUGGCAGUUUGCAUCCGGACCCUUAUCUGAGUGGCAGUUUGCAUCCGGACCCUUAUCUGAGUGGCAGUUUGUAACCAGCAUCUUAUCUGAGUGGCAUUUUGCAACCAGCACCUUAUCUGAGUGGCAUGUUGCAACCAGCACCUUAUCUGAG
Molecule: long non-coding RNA, 345 nt
Organism: Haliotis rubra (blacklip abalone)
Lineage: Eukaryota; Metazoa; Mollusca; Gastropoda; Lepetellida; Haliotidae
Exons: 4
Source: RefSeq, a predicted model, not a curated record